GAAAUAUGAUGAAUCAAAAAAAAGCUGCUAACUUUUUUCUUAGCGGUUAAAUUCCGUUUAUAUUUCU
This 67-nucleotide transfer RNA is filed under the name Pterostichus niger. RNAcentral's name for it is "tRNA-Ser". RNAcentral also lists the same sequence under 1 other name. The record is from RNAcentral. Lineage: Eukaryota; Metazoa; Arthropoda; Insecta; Coleoptera; Carabidae.